Prunus dulcis (almond) is the source of this 805-nucleotide long non-coding RNA. RefSeq lists it as uncharacterized. Lineage: Eukaryota; Viridiplantae; Streptophyta; Magnoliopsida; Rosales; Rosaceae. The transcript has 3 exons. The record is from RefSeq and is a predicted model, not a curated record.
CUACUAUUCUGUCAUAAGGAAAAUAUGGAGGAUUUAUCUAGCCAUAAUUUGACAUUUUUCUUGGGUUUUAUGGACUACAAUGUGUUCAAUUAGAAAGCAUUAGUUCAUUUGAUGUUUUUAGUUGAGGUUGUGGUGAUUUUCAUUUAUUUUCAUUUUUUGUAAGAUGUUAACAGCGUACAAGAGAGUCAAGAAGAGGUUGUGUGUAAAAGGAGGUUCUUUGCAGGCCAAACAAGUGGCUGGAAAUUAUUUAUUAAUGCAGUUGAGAUUGUUGCGGAGGUCCAUUCUUUCAGAUUUUCAUUAUCAGUUGAUUAUUUGUUGAACAAAUGGAUAGUCCAUAGAAAAAAGAAGGAAAUCUUGUAAAACUACUAUAAUUUUAUUGUCAAUAUUUGUCAUUCAGACUCCUAUAUAUUUGAAACAUAGGAUGCUACCUCAUUUGAGCAUCGAAAUUCCCAUAUAAUACAUGACUCUCAGAAGAAGGGGAGACUGGCAGAACAUGUCACUAACUUAACAUCUUCAAUCGCCAACCUAUCUUCCGGGAAAGGACAAUCGACGACUUCUUUCUUCUCCGGCAAUAAAUCGCAUGCCUUUGGAGUCACGUUGCUUGUAACUCCCGCAAUGUUGGUACAAUUCCAUUGUAAUUUCUUGGGCUUCUCAAUCAAUGUGAUAGUCACAUUAGAAAUGCAAAUUCCCUUGAAAGGAUCAUUAGGAAUUCCCUCCAGCCUUGCAGAUUUUGAUCCUCACACUGGAUUGAGUACUAAGGGCUGUGAUGUCCUCAGCGCGGACGUCGCGAAUUCCACCGGACAUC